This 810-nucleotide ribosomal RNA is filed under the name uncultured bacterium. RNAcentral describes it as "bacterial SSU rRNA". It matches the Rfam family "Bacterial small subunit ribosomal RNA", at positions 104 to 914 of the family's 1533-position model. The record is from RNAcentral.
GGGUGAGUAACACGUGAGUAACCUGCCCUCCACUUUGGGAUAACCAUUGGAAACGGUGGCUAAUACUGGAUAUGACGACUACUCGCAUGGGUGGUUGUGGAAAGCUUUAGUGGUGGGGGAUGGACUCGCGGCCUAUCAGCUUGUUGGUGGGGUAAUGGCCUACCAAGGCGACGACGGGUAGCCGGCCUGAGAGGGCGACCGGCCACACUGGGACUGAGACACGGCCCAGACUCCUACGGGAGGCAGCAGUGGGGAAUAUUGCACAAUGGGCGAAAGCCUGAUGCAGCGACGCCGCGUGGGGGAUGAAGGCCUUCGGGUUGUAAACCCCUUUCAGUAAGGAACAAGGCCAUGCGUAUGUGUGGUUGAGGGUACUUGCAGAAGAAGCGCCGGCUAACUACGUGCCAGCAGCCGCGGUAAUACGUAGGGCGCAAGCGUUGUCCGGAAUUAUUGGGCGUAAAGAGCUCGUAGGCGGCUUGUCGCGUCUGCCGUGAAAGUCUAAGGCUUAACCUUAGAUCUGCGGUGGGUACGGGCAGGCUAGAGUGCGGUAGGGGUGACUGGAAUUCCUGGUGUAGCGGUGGAAUGCGCAGAUAUCAGGAGGAACACCGAUGGCGAAGGCAGGUCACUGGGCCGCAACUGACGCUGAGGAGCGAAAGCAUGGGGAGCGAACAGGAUUAGAUACCCUGGUAGUCCAUGCCGUAAACGUUGGGCACUAGGUGUGGGGCUCAUUCCACGAGUUCCGCGCCGUAGCUAACGCAUUAAGUGCCCCGCCUGGGGAGUACGGCCGCAAGGCUAAAACUCAAAGGAAUUGAC